Molecule: ribosomal RNA, 788 nt
Filed under: uncultured archaeon
Lineage: Archaea
Description: bacterial SSU rRNA
Rfam family: Archaeal small subunit ribosomal RNA
Source: RNAcentral
ACGGCUCAGUAACACGUAGUCAACAUGCCCAGGGGACGUGGAUAACCUCGGGAAACUGAGGAUAAACCACGAUAAGUCACUACUUCUGGAAUGGGUAAUGACUCAAAUCUACAUGGCCCCAGGAUUGGACUGCGGCCGAUCAGGCUGUUGGUGAGGUAAUGGCCCACCAAACCUGUAACCGGUACGGGCUCUGAGAGGAGGAGCCCGGAGAUGGGCACUGAGACAAGGGCCCAGGCCCUAUGGGGCGCAGCAGGCGCGAAACCUCUGCAAUAGGCGAAAGCCUGACGGGGUUACUCUGAGUGAUUUCCGUUAAGGAGAUCUUUUGGCACCUCUAAAAAUGGUGCAGAAUAAGGGGUGGGCAAGUCUGGUGUCAGCCGCCGCGGUAAUACCAGCACCCCGAGUGGUCGGGACGUUUAUUGGGCCUAAAGCAUCCGUAGCCGGUUCUACAAGUCUUCCGUUAAAUCCACCUGCUUAACAGAUGGGCUGCGGAAGAUACUAUAGAGCUAGGAGGCGGGAGAGGCAAGCGGUACUCGAUGGGUAGGGGUAAAAUCCGUUGAUCCAUUGAAGACCACCAGUGGCGAAGGCGGCUUGCCAGAACGCGCUCGACGGUGAGGGAUGAAAGCUGGGGGAGCAAACCGGAUUAGAUACCCGGGUAGUCCCAGCUGUAAACGAUGCAGACUCGGUGAUGAGUUGGCUUUAUGCCAACUCAGUGCCGCAGGGAAGCCGUUAAGUUUGCCGCCUGGGGAGUACGGUCGCAAGACUGAAACUUAAAGGAAUUGGCGGGGGAG